GUAUUUUUGAGCUAAAAUUAUAUUUUAAGUAUAUAAUUUUCGGAAAAGUUAGCAAGGUUGAAGAAAAAUAAAUAAAGAUAUAAGGACAGAAGAUUGUGUUGACGGGUACCGAUUGUAGAAGAGAGAGGGAGGAAAUGGAGAACUCGGCGAUUUUGAGAGAGUGGUUCGAGCGGGUUGACACCGAGAAAAUCGGCAGUAUUACUGCAAUUCAGCUCAAGAGUGCUUUUGCAAUUGGAAAUUUGGAAUUUCCUAUCACUGUUGUCCAACAAAUGAUCAGGAUGUGCGAUUUUGACCUGAAUGGAACCAUGAGUUUUGAAGAGUUUGUUGAACUUAACAAGUUUCUGCUGAAGGUGCAACAUGUGUUCUCAGACUUGGAGAGGGGUCGUGGAUUCCUUGUCCCAGAUGAUGUUUACGAGGCCUUGAUAAAAAUUGGAUUCCGCCUCGACUCUCCAGCCUUGUACACUGUCUGCGAGAGUUUUGAUAGUAAUAAGAAUGGAAAAUUCAGGCUUGAUGACUUCAUAUCUCUUUGUAUCUUUGUACAGUCUGCACGGAACCUUUUUGAUUCAUUUGACACAACCAAGCAAGGCCGAGUGACUCUCGAUCUUAACCAAUUUAUCUACUGCAGUGUUCUUUAGAAAAGGUGGCUUUUGGUAUCAAUUACUCAUCCAAUCUGAGUGGUGAACCCACAAGCCACACUGAUUGGCUAUGGCAGAAGUCUUCCCCUUUUUUUAGCGUGUUGUAAAUGUACCAUCUGUUUGAAACCAUGAAAAGGCCUCACCAGUUAGUUGAAGGUUGUGAUAUUCAUGCGAAUGAUGACCAUAGUGGUUCAAUGUGUUGGCCUUCCAAAAUAUAAGAUUGUCUCACAUGCCAAUGGGGGUUUUCACCAUCCCUGUCCUCGACAGAUAUGUAUAUGAUGCUCCUUCCCAGUUGAUGUGCCAAGAGAAGGAACAAUAGAAAGGGAAUGUAGGAAACGUUAAACAUUCACCUUUCAUGAUGGGCUGCCAAUUGUCGAAUCUGAGGUCGUUGUCUCAUUAUCCAGUUUCCAGUUGCUGCUAUUAGCAUUGAGUAGGAUGCUUUGUACGAUAUAUGUAAAAUGCAAUGAUUUGAAAAGAGACGUUGAGGCAAGCGGUGUAUGGUUGGAGAACUAAGGAGUCAUUUGGUUGUGUGUACAAGUUAUAUCAGGAAUGAAAAGGUGCAUGGAGUAUUAUAGGGUGACUAAAUCAAUCAUCACUAGAUUAUUGUAUUUGUUUAGACAUUCAGUUGGUACAUUAAAAUAUUGAUUUAUGAUGUACAUUUAAAACUUGUAUCUGGUAUUUAAAAGAAUCAUUAUUUGUUCCAAAUAAUCUCCUUAGCUUGUAUUAA
Molecule: RNA transcript, 1362 nt
Organism: Solanum dulcamara
Lineage: Eukaryota; Viridiplantae; Streptophyta; Magnoliopsida; Solanales; Solanaceae
Exons: 11
Source: RefSeq, a predicted model, not a curated record